AAAUAUACGGAUUAUUUCUAAAAAUGUUUACCAAAUACAUUUCUAUCUCCCGCCUCUCCUCCUCUUCUUCUCCGGUUACUACUCUUUUGCCUCAAACAUUUUCUCAUUUUCCCGAUGCUCUCUCCUUCUCAUUCCCUUCCCCUAUCUGGUUUCUCUGCUCCUUCCCCUCACUGGUUCUCUGGGUGCGAAAUUCAACAUUCACAGCACACACCGCACGACUAGCCGCGCCAACUACUGUUCCCCAUCGUCGCGUCGCCGCUACUAUUCCUCCACCGCCGCGUCGCCGCUGCUGUUCCCCCACCACGGAAUUCGUCCUCUUCCUGCCGCCGCCGAAGCACACAAGUGUAGCUCCUCCUUAUCGCUUAUAGCUGUUAUUUCACGAGGAUACAACAUUUGACGAUCUGAUUGAUGUGAUUGAAGGGAACCGUAAAUACAUAAAAUGUGUAUAUGUAUACAACAAGAUAGAUGCAGUUGGUAUUGAUGAUGUUGACAGGCUAGCAAGACUGUCGAACACUAAUGUCAUUAGUGCCAACAUGAAGCGCGCUUAAUCUAGAUAGAUUGUUUGCAAGAAUGUGGGCGGAGAUGGGACUAGUUAGAGGUUAUACUAAGCCUUAAGGCUAGGAGCCUAACGUUUCUGAGCCUGUGGUUCUCUCUGCGUUCACAUGCUCCAUGACGUAUGCAAUUGGACAGGAAGAACAUUCACACUGCCAGUUCAAAGUAUUCAAGCAGACUAGUUCACCCGGUGAGCUCUUCAGCUUUCUCUAUUUUACAUUCAUUCACUCAUUGAGGGUAACGUGUGAUAAUGUUGAAAAUGAUGGAAAAACAACUGAGAUUUGCUCGAGCAGGUGCCGUGCGAUCGCACGGACAUUUUGUGCGCUCGCACUAGUCUACAGAGUUGGCUCCAAAAGUCAAGGCAGUGUGUGCGCUCGUGCCACAAAUUCGUGUGCUCGCACAAAUCCGGAAAAUCGAUGCAGGAACUAUGAGUGAUUUUGUGUGAUCGCACCGCAGAGGAGCCCACUCGCACGGAAUUUCGGUGGGCUCGCACUAAAUUCCUGUGCGAGCACACAAGGAUUUUCUAAGAUUUAGCCAAGUUACAGCCGUGCGAUCGCACGGUUGUUGAGCACGAUCGCAUGACACGAAGGAGAAGAAUCGUCGCAGGGCCCGUUCACAUUGAUGCACAGCACGAUCGCACCGAUGCGAUCGCACCUGGGUCUGCACGUUCGCACGGCUGCGCGGGAUUCAGUUUUCGAGUUUAAAACUCUUAUUUUUGGGGUUUAGUAUAAAUAGGAUUUUUGAUUAUUUUCAUUUUACGCUUUCAUAUUCUACAUUUCAUAUUUUUACACUUUCAAUUCUAGAGGUUUUGUGAUUUUGUUCUUCAAUCUAGAGAGAGAAACUCUUUAAUUCUAAGCAUCAAUUCAGUAAUUUUCUUCAACUCUUCUCUUCUUUAUGCAAUUGAAUUCUUAGUUCUUUAA
Spinacia oleracea (spinach) is the source of this 1472-nucleotide long non-coding RNA. RefSeq lists it as uncharacterized. The record is from RefSeq and is a predicted model, not a curated record. The transcript has 5 exons. Lineage: Eukaryota; Viridiplantae; Streptophyta; Magnoliopsida; Caryophyllales; Amaranthaceae.